AUUGAACGCUGGCGGCAGGCCUAACACAUGCAAGUCGAACGGUAACAGGAAGCAGCUUGCUGCUUUGCUGACGAGUGGCGGACGGGUGAGUAAUGUCUGGGAAACUGCCCGAUGGAGGGGGAUAACUACUGGAAACGGUAGCUAAUACCGCAUAACGUCGCAAGACCAAAGAGGGGGACCUUAGGGCCUCUUGCCAUCGGAUGUGCCCAGAUGGGAUUAGCUAGUAGGUGGGGUAACGGCUCACCUAGGCGACGAUCCCUAGCUGGUCUGAGAGGAUGACCAGCCAAACUGGAACUGAGACACGGUCCAGACUCCUACGGGAGGCAGCAGUGGGGAAUAUUGCACAAUGGGCGCAAGCCUGAUGCAGCCAUGCCGCGUGUAUGAAGAAGGCCUUCGGGUUGUAAAGUACUUUCAGCGGGGAGGAAGGGAGUAAAGUUAAUACCUUUGCUCAUUGACGUUACCCGCAGAAGAAGCACCGGCUAACUCCGU
This 489-nucleotide ribosomal RNA is filed under the name uncultured bacterium. RNAcentral describes it as "partial 16S ribosomal RNA". It matches the Rfam family "Bacterial small subunit ribosomal RNA", at positions 30 to 506 of the family's 1533-position model. The record is from RNAcentral.